Molecule: unclassified non-coding RNA, 470 nt
Filed under: Hevea brasiliensis (rubber tree)
Lineage: Eukaryota; Viridiplantae; Streptophyta; Magnoliopsida; Malpighiales; Euphorbiaceae
Source: RNAcentral
GAUAGAAUGGACAUAAGCGAUGCACUCAAAGAGUUACAUUCAGCCAGAAACAAUUUUAUGCAAGCUAGAGUUGUGUCAUGUAUAUAGAAGUGAGUAAUUCAACUUUAAUUUGAAAUUCUAGUACCUGCAUGUAAACUGUGUUAAGAAAGUUUAUUAUUUUUCAUUGAUGAUAUAAAUUUCUAUUUUGCAGCAGUUGCAUAAGAUUCAACGUCUCUUUAAAGGUGGCUGCAGUUUCACCAAUAUUAAUAGGAAGUGAAUGCUGAAGUUUGUGGCUUUAAAUCACAAGUGCAAGGGCGGUUGUGUUUUAUGUAGGCCAUAAUUAUAUAUGCUUUAUGUUUGGGUAUACGCAAAGUCUAAUUAGCUGGUAUUAUAUGUGUGUUCAACUUGAAUAAAAUAAAUUAUACGUUUCAUGCAUAAAUAAUGGGAAGAUUUAACUGUUACACCCAUAUUCCCCUACUUUAAUAAAAUAA